UACGUAGGGGGCAAGCGUUGUCCGGAUUUAUUGGGCGUAAAGAGCGUGUAGGCGGCCAUACAGGUCCGUUGUGAAAACUGGAGGCUUAACCUCCAGACGUCGAUGGAAACCGUAUGGCUAGAGGCCGGAAGAGGAGAGUGGAAUUCCUGGUGUAGCGGUGAAAUGCGCAGAUAUCAGGAAGAACACCCGUGGCGAAGGCGGCUCUCUGGGACGGUACUGACGCUGAGACGCGAAAGCGUGGGGAGCGAACAGG
Molecule: ribosomal RNA, 253 nt
Filed under: uncultured bacterium
Lineage: Bacteria
Description: partial 16S ribosomal RNA
Rfam family: Bacterial small subunit ribosomal RNA
Source: RNAcentral